Molecule: non-coding RNA, 147 nt
Filed under: Anopheles farauti
Lineage: Eukaryota; Metazoa; Arthropoda; Insecta; Diptera; Culicidae
Description: eukaryotic large subunit ribosomal RNA
Rfam family: Eukaryotic large subunit ribosomal RNA
Source: RNAcentral
UGGCUUGUGGCCGCCAAGCGUUCAUAGCGACGUGGCUUUUUGAUCCUUCGAUGUCGGCUCUUCCUAUCAUUGUGAAGCAAAAUUCACCAAGCGUAGGAUUGUUCACCCUUUCAAGGGACCGUGAACUGGGUUGAGAACGAGCGAGUC